RNAcentral lists this transfer RNA (75 nucleotides) under Candidatus Saccharibacteria bacterium QS_5_54_17. RNAcentral's name for it is "tRNA-Met". It matches the Rfam family "tRNA". Rfam says of the family: Transfer RNA (tRNA) molecules are approximately 80 nucleotides in length. Their secondary structure includes four short double-helical elements and three loops (D, anti-codon, and T loops). RNAcentral also lists the same sequence under 2 other names. The record is from RNAcentral. Lineage: Bacteria; Candidatus Saccharimonadota.
CGCGGGGUGGAGCAGUGGCAGCUCGUCGGGCUCAUAACCCGGAGGUCGCAGGUUCGAAUCCUGCCCCCGCUACCA